Long non-coding RNA from Mytilus trossulus (common blue mussel), 425 nucleotides. RefSeq lists it as uncharacterized. The transcript is spliced from 4 exons. Lineage: Eukaryota; Metazoa; Mollusca; Bivalvia; Mytilida; Mytilidae. The record is from RefSeq and is a predicted model, not a curated record.
AUAAAAUGCCUUUGGUUAGGAAAAGAGGCAGACAUUAAGCCCAUGUUACAUAUGAAAGAGGUACAGAUGCCCUUAAAGUUUUUGAUGAAGUAAAGAGCAAGAUACUGUCCCAUCUGGCAGCAAUACUGUAUGACACUGUAUGACCAAUUCACAGACAAUUUGACAAAGAAUAACAAUAGAACACCAACAAUUCACAUAUAAGACAAUGUUUUAUGGUGAAUGGUUAUAGUAAUUUAGACAAGCAAAACAUGCAUUAAAGACUGUCAGUGUUGCUUGGAUUUUCUCCAUAUGGUCAUUUAAGAAGAAAAUUGAUAGAGGAAAGAUACAGAUAUGCAAGAAUUUAAUAUUUGAAAUGCACUUAAUAUUUCUUUUGUAUAUGACCAUUAAAUUUUGGCAGUCAUUGUUAUCUCUGCUAUACAAACAAA